UUUCCUUUCGCUUCACAAAACAUUAAGUAUUACUGCUCAAUGCCUCAUCUGAAUCUCAAAAAUAUUAAUCACAAAUAACGAAUGACGUGCCCUACCUAUCACAGGAAGACUAGCUCAAGAAACUUGCCAGCAGCCCACAAACGAGUCCACUUUCUUUGUAUCUUGCCACGAGGCUCUCUACGUCAAGCUGAGAAGUUAGUAUUGAGGACACAAUUCUAGCCUGCACAUUUCAGUAAGAACCAACCGUGGGACUCCUGUUCGUCUCCUGUCCCUUUCCUCUGCGCUGCCUGAGGGUCUCCACAGGAGGGAUUCUCAGUGUUCAGGCCUGCAAAUGCCUCAUUUAAAGCAUCAUAGGAGGGUCCAGGCAGCUCUUCCUGCCCAUGAGUCCUGUCCCCGUGGUCCACUAAAAUCACCUUUUUGCACCAAAGACAUCUUCAAGAAUUCUCUCCUGGCCGCCAGCUCUGAGCCCCAUGAACCCCGCCAUCACCGCAUAACUUCAUCAAUGAUCUCACAGUUCGUGGGUUCGAGCCCCACGUCGGGUUCUGCACUGACAGCGUGGAGCCUGCUUGGGAUUCUU
Molecule: long non-coding RNA, 577 nt
Organism: Herpailurus yagouaroundi (jaguarundi)
Lineage: Eukaryota; Metazoa; Chordata; Mammalia; Carnivora; Felidae
Exons: 3
Source: RefSeq, a predicted model, not a curated record